UAACGGCAAAGCUGCUGAAAGGCAGUGACGCAAAACUAGAGGGGCUAAACUGAACGCAAUCUCACCACUCAGACGCUUCAAAGUUCAGCAUUUGUCAGCCAGUUGCC
Molecule: non-coding RNA, 107 nt
Filed under: bovine gut metagenome
Also listed under: 1 other name
Description: Cyclic di-GMP-I riboswitch
Rfam family: c-di-GMP-I riboswitch aptamer
About the family: GEMM was predicted in a large-scale screen for bacterial structured RNA regulatory elements. Genes associated with GEMM are involved in a diverse array of functions, including chemotaxis regulation, signal transduction, secretion and chitin.
Source: RNAcentral